UACGUAGGUCCCGAGCGUUGUCCGGAUCUAUUGGGCGUAAAGCGAGCGCAGGUGGUUUAUUAAGUCUGGUGUAAAAGGCAGUGGCACAACCAUUGUAUGCAUUGGAAACUGGUAGACUUGAGUGCAGGAGAGGAGAGUGGAAUUCCAUGUGUAGCGGUGAAAUGCGUAGAUAUAUGGAGGAACACCGGUGGCGAAAGCGGCUCUCUGGCCUGUAACUGACACUGAGGCUCGAAAGCGUGGGGAGCAAACAGG
This 252-nucleotide ribosomal RNA is filed under the name uncultured bacterium. RNAcentral's name for it is "partial 16S ribosomal RNA". It matches the Rfam family "Bacterial small subunit ribosomal RNA", at positions 524 to 776 of the family's 1533-position model. The record is from RNAcentral.